CCUACGGGUGACAGCAGUGAGGAAUAUUGGUCAAUGGGCGGAAGCCUGAACCAGCCAAGUAGCGUGCAGGAUGACGGCCCUACGGGUUGUAAACUGCUUUUAUACGGGAAUAACGCGCCUUACGUGUAGGGCUUUGCAUGUACCGGAUGAAUAAGGAACGGCUAAUUCCGUGCCAUCAGCCGCGGUAAUACGGAAGGUCCGGGCUUUAUCCGGAUUUAUUGGGUUGAAAGGGAGCGUAGGCCGCAUGUCAAGCGUGCUGUGAAAUGUCCGGGCUCAACCCGGGCCUUGCAGCGCGAACUGGCGUGCUUGUGUCCGCGGAAAGCAGGCGGAAUUCGUCGUGUAGCGGUGAAAUGCUUAGAUAUGACGAAGAACCCAGAUUGCGAAGGCAGCUUGCUGCAGCGGAACUGACGCUGAUGCUCGAAAGCGCGGGUAUCGAACAGGAUUAGAUACCCGGGUAGUC
RNAcentral lists this ribosomal RNA (460 nucleotides) under uncultured bacterium. Its description in RNAcentral is "partial 16S ribosomal RNA". It matches the Rfam family "Bacterial small subunit ribosomal RNA", at positions 338 to 795 of the family's 1533-position model. The record is from RNAcentral.